GCGGAACUGUCGCACAGAGUACAGGUUCAGUCAGAUACAGGGCUCUGCUAGUCUGUCCUCCACUUACCACAUCUCUUCUGAUAGAAUUCGCUUCUCCUCUGCCGUUGCUGCGUCGGUGCCGGCGGCUCGCUGUUCUCGGCGUUUCUCUUCUGCCGCUGCCGCGUCGAUGCCGGCGGCUCGCUGGAUCCCGGUGUUUUCCUCGUGGGAUUGACUGUCGUGAAAUGGCUAAGUAACGAUAUAUUUAAGAGAAACUAGAGAUAUAAAAAGGGGAUGCAGCGAUGCAGCGCGCUGUGACGAACCUUCUUAAGGUUCGUUACAACUGGAUGCAUCAAAUGGACCAAUGGUCCAGUGCUUUUAUCUCUCCUUCUUCCUCUACAAGGGACGAGAUCGGGGCCCCUCCAUCAGCUGGUCCAGUGACUCUAUCUCUGUCUUUUCCUCUCCAAGAGACGACAUCGGGGUCGCCUUCUUCAGCUGGUCCAAUGAUUGUACCUCCAUUUCGUACAAUAUUUGAUAAUUUUGUAUCGAAAAGAUGUAUGCGAAAUUUGGUAAAAUCCGAGUGGACGGUUUGGACAGCAACUUUAUGCACGAUCUAUUCGGGGCAUAUUGCGACCACCUGAAUGGGAAACCCAAACGCAACCGCAUAUUACAAAGAAAAGCUAAAAUGAGCGUGACAUUUGGCACAAUAAAAACCAUUUACGAGGUUCGUCCAGCCGAUGUGAUGAAGUUCUAUAUUUCUUUCCUGAAGGAAAGUAGUAAAACUAAGUAAAAUAACUUUAUAAAAUAAUCUUCUCAUAAUGUAUUGUAUUCCAGUCGAGGCCGUUCAGGAACCCGAGUACAUGGCUGAGCCGAAGGCCGUCCUGAUGCCUGAUGCUGCUGAGCCGGAGAUCGACGACAUGGCCGUCGUGGAUGCUGCUGAGCCGGAGAUCGACGAGCAGCAGGAGACGGACGAGGAAUCGCUCACGUCCAUGUGUAUAACAAAGAUCGAGAAGCUGCCAGACCCUGCUAAUCCUACUCCUGCCAAAAGUACCAGUCCAAUUGCGGAAAGUACUACAGUAAUGCCGUCCCACAAUGAACAGUCGAUCGGUGUACAGUGCAAAUUAUGUAAAAAAGUGAUCGCAAAGGCAAGCAAUUUAGGCUCCCAUAUUUUGACGCAACACUACACCGCGCCUAAAGCAAUGGUAGCGCAGGACUCGGAAACUAUGACUCGGAUAAAUGAAGCCUUCGAUACCAAAAAAAUAAACAGUGUUUUAGCACUGUCAUGUCAAACGAAGGUGCCGCUGGAAUAUAUGUAUGUAUGCGGCCUAUCAUGAUGUGCUGCAGCCAAUUUAAGAAGGUUGGACGUAAAUUGUGGGCCCGCAAGACUGUAGAGGAAAUUCUGCUGGAAGAGACGAAAAAAAUAAACUGAAUUCAAUUAAAUUAUAUUUAUAUAUACAUAUG
This is an RNA transcript of Drosophila pseudoobscura, 1437 nucleotides long. RefSeq lists it as uncharacterized. The transcript has 5 exons. Lineage: Eukaryota; Metazoa; Arthropoda; Insecta; Diptera; Drosophilidae. The record is from RefSeq and is a predicted model, not a curated record.